UAAUAAGUGUUUAUGGCACUUUUUAAAUCCAUAUCCACCUUGUGUGCAAUGUCAGUCGAUCUUCUUCAUGGAGAUCGAGCCAAACAUCAACCUUUAUUUUUUAACUCUUUGUCUGAAAAAUAUUAUGAAUAAACAAUUCAAAAUAC
RNAcentral lists this unclassified non-coding RNA (146 nucleotides) under soil metagenome. Its description in RNAcentral is "partial internal transcribed spacer 1". The record is from RNAcentral.